This 311-nucleotide unclassified non-coding RNA is filed under the name air metagenome. Its description in RNAcentral is "partial contains small subunit ribosomal RNA, internal transcribed spacer 1, and 5.8S ribosomal RNA". The stretch from base 1 to 46 matches the Rfam family "Eukaryotic small subunit ribosomal RNA", at positions 1786 to 1831 of the family's 1831-position model. The record is from RNAcentral.
AAGUCGUAACAAGGUUUCCGUAGGUGAACCUGCGGAAGGAUCAUUAUUGAAUAAACAUGAUGUAGUUGUAGCUGAUCUUCUAGGAGAUAUGUGCUCGCUCGUCAUCUUUUAUCUUUCCACCUGUGCACUUUUUGUAGACAUGGAUGUAACAUUUUCGAGGAAACUCGGUAUGGAGAAAUGCUUAUAUUUGCUUUUCUUGUGCAUUCCUGUUCUAUGUUUUCAUAUACUCCAAAAAUGUAACAGAAUGUAACUUUUGGGCCUUGUGCCUAUAAAACUAUAUACAACUUUCAGCAACGGAUCUCUUGGCUCUC